AAACUGCUUUUAUACAGGAAGAAAAACUUUCUCGUGAGAGAGCUUGACGGUACUGUAAGAAUAAGGAUCGGCUAACUCCGUGCCAGCAGCCGCGGUAAUACGGAGGAUCCAAGCGUUAUCCGGAAUCAUUGGGUUUAAAGGGUCCGUAGGUGGACAGAUAAGUCAGAGGUGAAAUCCUGCAGCUCAACUGUAGAACUGCCUUUGAUACUGUUUGUCUUGAGUUAUUGUGAAGUGGUUAGAAUGUGUAGUGUAGCGGUGAAAUGCAUAGAUAUUACACAGAAUACCAAUUGCGAAGGCAGAUCACUAACAAUUAACUGACACUGAUGGACGAAAGCGUGGGUAGCGAACAGGAUUAGAUACCCUGGUAGUCCACGCCGUAAACGAUGGUCACUAGCUGUUUGGACUUCGGUCUGAGUGGCUAAGCGAAAGUGAUAAGUGACCCACCUGGGGAGUACGUUCGCAAGAAUGAAACUCAAAGGAAUUGACGGGGGCCCGCACAAGCGGUGGAGCAUGUGGUUUAAUUCGAUGAUACGCGAGGAACCUUACCAGGGCUUAAAUGUUAGGUGACAGAUCUAGAAAUAGAUUUUUCUUCGGACACUUAACAAGGUGCUGCAUGGUUGUCGUCAGCUCGUGCCGUGAGGUGUCAGGUUAAGUCCUAUAACGAGCGCAACCCCUGUUGUUAGUUGCCAGCGAGUAAUGUCGGGAACUCUAGCAAGACUGCCAGUGCAAACUGUGAGGAAGGUGGGGAUGACGUCAAAUCAUCACGGCCCUUACGUCCUGGGCUACACACGUGCUACAAUGGUAGGUACAGUGAGCAGCCAGUGCGCGAGCACGAGCAAAUCUACAAAACCUAUCUCAGUUCGGAUCGGAGUCUGCAACUCGACCCCGUGAAGCUGGAAUCGCUAGUAAUCGGAUAUCAGCCAUGAUCCGGUGAAUACGUUCCCGGGCCUUGUACACACCGCCCGUCAAGCCAUGGAAGUUGGGAGUGCCUGAAGUCCGUUUCCGCAAGGAUCGGCCUAGGGUAAAAUCGAUAACUAGGGCUAAGUCGUAACAAGGUAGCCGUACCGGAAGGUGCGGCUGGAACACCUCCUUUCU
Molecule: ribosomal RNA, 1095 nt
Filed under: uncultured Flavobacteriaceae bacterium
Lineage: Bacteria; Pseudomonadati; Bacteroidota; Flavobacteriia; Flavobacteriales; Flavobacteriaceae
Description: bacterial SSU rRNA
Rfam family: Bacterial small subunit ribosomal RNA
Source: RNAcentral